Papaver somniferum (opium poppy) is the source of this 596-nucleotide long non-coding RNA. RefSeq lists it as uncharacterized. Lineage: Eukaryota; Viridiplantae; Streptophyta; Magnoliopsida; Ranunculales; Papaveraceae. The record is from RefSeq and is a predicted model, not a curated record. The transcript has 3 exons.
AUUCCUUAUAUUUUGGGAAAAUGGGUAAAAUGUAGGAUAAAAGAGACCACAUGAUCAUUGGAGGAGCUCGUAGUCAAAUAUAGGUAAGCUGGCUAAUUCAGGUUAACCCGAUAGGCUGAUUCCAGAAGUGGGACUUAGAAAGAAGAAGAAGAAAACUGGAGACAGAAAAAGAAAGAUGACGAGAGGAAAGCAGAAGAUCGAAGCUCAGAAAAAGAAUGCAGAGAAGAAUCAAAAAAAUAAAGGAUCUCAAUUUGAAGCUAGGGCUGCUGCUCUGAAAGUCGUUUGCCCUAUUUGCAAGGUGCAACUAGCUAAUGCAAAUCAACUUGGUGAUCACUACUCGUCCAAACAUCCAAAGGAAAAGCCUCCAAGUGACUCUACCUGAGUGAUUACGCCUUAGCAACAAAGAGAGAAGAACUACAAAGCCUUAGCAACAAAGAGAGAAGAACUACAAACCAUCUCUUUAGUAUGUCAUCUGUACUCAUUUAAAAUCCGGAAUAUCUAAAUUUAACUAUCAAACAUCUGAAUAUGUAAUCCAUAUCUGUACUUGUGGAGAUAAAUAACAAAUCUAUAUAUUUCAAAGAUGAGAGAUUUUGAUA